Molecule: long non-coding RNA, 331 nt
Filed under: Mytilus galloprovincialis (Mediterranean mussel)
Lineage: Eukaryota; Metazoa; Mollusca; Bivalvia; Mytilida; Mytilidae
Source: RNAcentral
UUCAAAGUAUGACGGGAUGCAUAAAUACAGUCAGUGACUGUCACGCAAAAUAGAUAUAACAAAAACUGGCUUAACAGUUAAAGUAAUAAUAAUAAAUAAAAUAAUAGUGCGGUUCAAAGUAUGACGGGAUACAUAAGUACAGAGGCACGUCAAAUGUAUAUCACAAAAACAGUGGGUUAACAGUAAAAGUAAUAUUAAUAAAUAAAAUAAUUUUGUCAUUCAAGGUAUGACAAGAUACAUAGGUACAGAGUCACAUCAUGAAAUAAUUUUGUCGUUCAAAGUAUGAUGGGAUACAUCAGCACAGAGUUACGUCAAAAGGAUAUCUAAAAAA